RNAcentral lists this ribosomal RNA (552 nucleotides) under uncultured bacterium. Its description in RNAcentral is "bacterial SSU rRNA". It matches the Rfam family "Bacterial small subunit ribosomal RNA", at positions 355 to 896 of the family's 1533-position model. The record is from RNAcentral.
UGGGGAAUAUUGCGCAAGGGGGGAAAGCCUGACGCAGCCAUACCGCGUGUAUGAAGAAGGCCUUCGGGUUGUAAAGCUCUUUAAGUAUGGAGGGAAGAGUGAAUGGUUAAUAGCCCUAUCACCUUGACGUUAAAUACAGAAGAAGCACCGGCUAAUUCUGUGCCAGCAGCCGCGGUAAUACAGAGGGUGCAAAGCGUUAAUUCGGAAUUACUGGGCGUAAAGCGCGCGUAGGUGGUUAUUUAAGUCAGAUGUGAAAGCCCCGGGCUUAACCUGGGAACUGCAUCUGAUACUGGAUAACUAGAGUAGGUGAGAGGGGAGUAGAAUUCCAGGGUAGCGGUGAAAUGCGUAGAGAUCUGGAGGAAUACCGAUGGCGAAGGCAGCUCCCUGGCAUCAUACUGACACUGAGGUGCGAAAGCGUGGGUAGCAAACAGGAUUAGAUACCCUGGUAGUCCACGCCGUAAACGAUGUCUACCAGUCGUUGGGUCUUUUAAAGACUUAGUGACGCAGUUAACGCAAUAAGUAGACCGCCUGGGGAUNAANNCCGCAAGGUUA